GACGAACGCUGGCGGCGUGCUUAACACAUGCAAGUCGAACGGUAAGGCCCUUCGGGGUACACGAGUGGCGAACGGGUGAGUAACACGUGGGUGAUCUGCCCUGCACUUCGGGAUAAGCCUGGGAAACUGGGUCUAAUACCGGAUAGGACCAUGGACUUCACGGUUCGUGGUGGAAAGCUUUUGCGGUGUGGGAUGGGCCCGCGGCCUAUCAGCUUGUUGGUGGGGUAAUGGCCUACCAAGGCGACGACGGGUAGCCGGCCUGAGAGGGUGUCCGGCCACACUGGGACUGAGAUACGGCCCAGACUCCUACGGGAGGCAGCAGUGGGGAAUAUUGCACAAUGGGCGCAAGCCUGAUGCAGCGACGCCGCGUGA
RNAcentral lists this ribosomal RNA (372 nucleotides) under uncultured bacterium. RNAcentral's name for it is "bacterial SSU rRNA". It matches the Rfam family "Bacterial small subunit ribosomal RNA", at positions 28 to 404 of the family's 1533-position model. The record is from RNAcentral.